GGCUCAUUAAAUCAGUUAUCGUCUAUUUGAUAGUACCUUACUACUUGGAUAACCGUGGUAAUUCUAGAGCUAAUACAUGCUGAAAACCCCGACUUCGGAAGGGAUGUAUUUAUUAGAUUAAAAACCAAUGCCCUUCUGGGCUCCCUGGUGAUUCAUGAUAACUUCUCGAAUCGCACGGCCUUGCGCCGGCGAUGGUUCAUUCAAAUUUCUGCCCUAUCAACUUUCGACGGCUGGGUCUUGGCCAGCCAUGGUGACAACGGGUAACGGAGGGUUAGGGCUCGACCCCGGAGAAGGAGCCUGAGAAACGGCUACUACAUCCAAGGAAGGCAGCAGGCGCGCAAAUUACCCAAUCCCGACACGGGGAGGUAGUGACAAUAAAUACUGAUACAGGGCUCUUUUGGGUCUUGUAAUUGGAAUGAGUACAAUUUAAUUCCCUUAACGAGGAACAAUUGGAGGGCAAGUCUGGUGCCAGCAGCCGCGGUAAUUCCAGCUCCAAUAGCGUAUAUUAAAGUUGUUGCAGUUAAAAAGCUCGUAGUUGAACCUUGGGCCUGGCUGGCCGGUCCGCCUCACCGCGUGCACUGGUCCGGCCGGGCCUUUCCCUCUGGGGAGCCGCAUGCCCUUCACUGGGCGUGCCGGGGAACCAGGACGUUUACUUUGAAAAAAUUAGAGUGUUCAAAGCAGGCUUAUGCUCGGAUACAUUAGCAUGGAAUAAUAGAAUAGGACGUGCGGUUCUAUUUUGUUGGUUUCUAGGACCGCCGUAAUGAUUAAUAGGGACAGUCGGGGGCAUCAGUAUUCAGUUGUCAGAGGUGAAAUUCUUGGAUUUACUGAAGACUAACUACUGCGAAAGCAUUUGCCAAGGAUGUUUUUCAUUAAUCAGGAACGAAAGUUAGGGGAUCGAAGACGAUCAGAUACCGUCGUAGUCUUAACCAUAAACUAUGCCGACUAGGGAUCGGACGGUGUUAUUUUUUGACCCGUUCGGCACCUUACACGCAAAGUAC
Molecule: ribosomal RNA, 998 nt
Filed under: Raffaelea fusca
Lineage: Eukaryota; Fungi; Ascomycota; Sordariomycetes; Ophiostomatales; Ophiostomataceae
Description: SSU rRNA
Rfam family: Eukaryotic small subunit ribosomal RNA
Source: RNAcentral